GACGAACGCUGGCGGCGCGCCUAACACAUGCAAGUCGAACGGAGCUGAGAGAAGCUUGCUUUUCUUAGCUUAGUGGCGAACGGGUGAGUAACGCGUGAGUAACCUGCCCUGGAGUGGGGGACAACAGCUGGAAACGACUGCUAAUACCGCAUAAGCCCACGAUCCGGCAUCGGAUUGAGGGAAAAGGAUUUAUUCGCUUCAGGAUGGACUCGCGUCCAAUUAGCUAGUUGGUGAGGUAACGGCCCACCAAGGCGACGAUUGGUAGCCGGACUGAGAGGUUGAACGGCCACAUUGGGACUGAGACACGGCGCAGACUCCUACGGGAGGCAGCAGUGGGGGAUAUUGCACAAUGGGGGAAACCCUGAUGCAGCGACGCCGCGUGGAGGAAGAAGGUUUUCGGAUUGUAAACUCCUGUCGUUAGGGACGAUAAUGACGGUACCUAACAAGAAAGCACCGGCUAACUACGCG
This 468-nucleotide ribosomal RNA is filed under the name uncultured bacterium. Its description in RNAcentral is "partial 16S ribosomal RNA". It matches the Rfam family "Bacterial small subunit ribosomal RNA", at positions 28 to 507 of the family's 1533-position model. The record is from RNAcentral.